GGGUUCCUGGGCCAGGCCAGUCCGCCCAGGGUGAGUCGGGACCUAAGGCGAGGCCGACAGGCGUAGUCGAUGGACAACGGGUUGAUAUUCCCGUACCCGUGUAUAAGCGUCCCUGAUGAAUCAGAGGUACUAACCGCCCAAAUCCAGAAUCACUGAUCCCUUCGGGGUGAUGGUUUCUGGGGCUGCGCGGGACCUUCUCUGGUAGUAGUCAAGCGAUGGGGUGACGCAGGUAGGUAGCCGUACCAGUCAGUGGUAAUACUGGGGUAAACCUGUAGGGAGAAACGUAGGCAAAUCCGCGUUUCAUAUAUCCUGAGAGGUGAUG
Molecule: ribosomal RNA, 322 nt
Filed under: Mycolicibacterium crocinum
Lineage: Bacteria; Bacillati; Actinomycetota; Actinomycetes; Mycobacteriales; Mycobacteriaceae
Description: Mycobacterium crocinum partial 23S ribosomal RNA
Rfam family: Bacterial large subunit ribosomal RNA
Source: RNAcentral